This 240-nucleotide unclassified non-coding RNA is filed under the name soil metagenome. RNAcentral's name for it is "partial contains 5.8S ribosomal RNA, internal transcribed spacer 2, and large subunit ribosomal RNA". The record is from RNAcentral.
AACAUCGCGCACCUGCGGGAACCUGCGGAGGGAUCAUUGCAGAGUUGCAAAACUCCCUAAACCAUUGUGAACGUUACCUAAACCGUUGCUUCGGCGGGCGGCCCGGGUCCUUCCCGGCGCCCCUCGGCCCUCGCGGGCGCCCGCCGGAGGUAAACCAAACUAUUGCAUUGUAUGGCCUCUCUGAGUCUUCUGUACUGAAUAAGUCAAAACUUUUAACAAUGGAUCUCAGAUCGGAAGAGC